This 73-nucleotide transfer RNA is filed under the name Caudoviricetes sp. RNAcentral's name for it is "tRNA-Lys". It matches the Rfam family "tRNA". Rfam says of the family: Transfer RNA (tRNA) molecules are approximately 80 nucleotides in length. Their secondary structure includes four short double-helical elements and three loops (D, anti-codon, and T loops). Further hydrogen bonds mediate the characteristic L-shaped molecular structure. tRNAs have two regions of fundamental functional importance: the anti-codon, which is responsible for specific mRNA codon recognition, and the 3' end, to which the tRNAs corresponding amino acid is attached (by aminoacyl-tRNA synthetases). tRNAs cope with the degeneracy of the genetic code in two manners: having more than one tRNA (with a specific anti-codon) for a particular amino acid; and 'wobble' base-pairing, i.e. permitting non-standard base-pairing at the 3rd anti-codon position. Lineage: Duplodnaviria; Heunggongvirae; Uroviricota; Caudoviricetes. The record is from RNAcentral.
GAUCUCAUAAUAUAAUAGGUUAUUAUCCUGCACUUUUAAUGCAGUUAUCAGAGUUCGAGUCUCUGUGGGAUCA